This is a long non-coding RNA of Meriones unguiculatus (Mongolian gerbil), 1782 nucleotides long. RefSeq lists it as uncharacterized. The record is from RefSeq and is a predicted model, not a curated record. Lineage: Eukaryota; Metazoa; Chordata; Mammalia; Rodentia; Muridae. The transcript is spliced from 5 exons.
UGUCCCCGGUGCCGCGACUCCGCAGGUCCCUCUCGCCGCCCGGUCCUCCCCUCCGUCCUCCCCGUCCCCCGCCCCUCCCCAGAGCGGCCCCGCUCCCACGUGACCCGCGGGCGGGCGCGUCGGGGGCCCGAGCCGCGCGCGACAGCGUCCGGGACGCGGCAGGCAUCGAGGCUACAGAAGAAGAGGAUCCAGGCAGCCCUGAUGAGACUUAACAAGCUACGGGCAGAUGGCAAUGGUGGAGAAUUCCCUCUUUCAGUGGACUAGGCUACCCGGCCAUAACACCUGUGCUACAGUCUACUGCGCAUCCAGUAACGGGCACCGAGGAUCCCUGCACCUCGUGACAAACACACUAGAAUGAUGACUGCCCAGGCUUUCCGUGGUGAUGCAGUGCAAAGAUGUGCAACUUCAUGGAAAAGAAGAAAUGCCAGGGAACUCACUAGAACGACAACAGAAGGUGAUGACAGAAUCAUCAGAGCAGUAGAUCGUUAGUACAAUUGGCUUGGUUGGUGUUGCUGCUACAGCAGCAGUUUGUUUUAUGUGCUAGGAAUGGAGUCCUCAAGUAUGGACUGCUCACUAAGAAAACCUCCAGGACCGGAGAGAUGGUUUAGAGCACUGGCUGCUCUUCCAGAGGUCCUGAGUUCAAUUCCCAGCAGCCACGUGGUGGCUCCUAACCGUAUAUAGUGAAAUUUGGUGCCCUCCGCUGGUGCACUGGCACACACGCAGGCAGAACACUGGAAACAUAAUAAAGAAAUAAAUCUUUAAAAAUUAAAAAAAAAAAAAAGAAAGAAAGAAAGAAAAAGAAAAUCUCCAAGGAAAACUGAGCCGGCAAGGAUAAAUUACAACACACAAACACAGAGACGUGAAAAUGCAAGGCACCAUGACUUCUCAACACUUAGACUGUACCAAGACUGUAACUCAACACUUAGAUUCAAAGACACUGAAAUGGGUAAAAUCCUGGAUGAAAAUCUCAAAAGCUGACUAACAAAAAUGACUAAUGAUCUCAUAAAGAAUACAAGCAAGCAGAUAAAUGACGUUCAGAAAUGGGUCCAGGACUCAGAAAAGAAAACUUGUAGCCUAAAGAAGUCGCCAAAAUGCAUGGAAAAAAAAAAUCAAUAAUAUGGAUGAAAAUAGAAAGUUCAACAAGGAAAUUGAGAUUCUGAAGGGGAAAAAAAACAAAUAGAAAUGUUAGAAUAAAAAAAAAAUCCCACAGUGAAAAGCACCACCAAUAACUCAAGUAAGCAAAAGUAAAAAUACCGGGAUGGAGGAGAACAAAAGGAGAGAUGGAGAGCGUUUACAUGUAGAUGCUAGAGAUGGCUCGGCAGUAAGGAGCACUUGCGGCUCUUCCAGGAAACUCGGGUUCUAUUCCUAUUACCCACACCAUGGCUCAGAACCAGUGGUAGCUCCAGUUCCAGGGGAUCUGGUGCCCUCUUCUGGCCUUCUCAGGCACCAGACACAUGUGCGGUACGCAAACAUAAGUGCAGGUGAAACACACACACACACACACACACACACACACUCAAAAAUGUCAAAAAUGCAAAGCAAUAUAUACUUAAUGAAUAUGCGCUGUUAGCAAUCAGGCACCUCACGCCCAGCUCCAAGGACCUGGCAACAAAAGGACACUUCGUUAUCAGCCUCCAACUUGCAACACACUUCCGCUGUUACCAUGAACUGCCUGUCCUCUCCCUGCGCAUGCGCUUCAUCACCUUCUAAAAGAACCUGUUCGCUCUGCUACCACCCCUCAGCCAGAGGGAGCCACUGUGUGCCCUCUCUUAAUAAACCUCC